GAUAAGUCAGAUGUGAAAUCCCCGGGCUUAACCUGGGAACUGCAUCUGAAACUGUUAGGCUAGAGUAGGUGAGAGGGAAGUAGAAUUUCAGGUGUAGCGGUGAAAUGCGUAGAGAUCUGAAGGAAUACCGAUGGCGAAGGCAGCUUCCUGGCAUCAUACUGACACUGAGGCUCGAAAGCGUGGGUAGCAAACAGGAUUAGAUACCCUGGUAGUCCACGCCGUAAACGAUGUCUACUAGUCGUUGGGUCCCUUGAGGACUUAGUGACGCAGCUAACGCAAUAAGUAGACCGCCUGGGGAGUACGGCCGCAAGGUUAAAACUCAAAUGAAUUGACGGGGGCCCGCACAAGCGGUGGAGCAUGUGGUUUAAUUCGAUGCAACGCGAAGAACCUUACCUGGUCUUGACAUAUCUAGAAUCCUGCAGAGAUGCGGGAGUGCCUUCGGGAAUUAGAAUACAGGUGCUGCAUGGCUGUCGUCAGCUCGUGUCGUGAGAUGUUGGGUUAAGUCCCGCAACGAGCGCAACCCUUGUCCUUAGUUACCAGCGGGUUAAGCCGGGAACUCUAAGGAUACUGCCAGUGACAAACUGGAGGAAGGCGGGGACGACGUCAAGUCAUCAUGGCCCUUACGACCAGGGCUACACACGUGCUACAAUGGUAGGUACAGAGGGCAGCUACACAGCGAUGUGAUGCGAAUCUCAAAAAGCCUAUCGUAGUCCAGAUUGGAGUCUGCAACUCGACUCCAUGAAGUAGGAAUCGCUAGUAAUCGCGGAUCAGAAUGCCGCGGUGAAUACGUUCCCGGGCCUUGUACACACCGCCCGUCACACCAUGGGAGUUGAUUGCACCAGAAGUGGAUAGCUUAACCUUCGGGGAGGCGUCACCACGGNGUGUGAA
RNAcentral lists this ribosomal RNA (888 nucleotides) under Psychrobacter sp. 21F07-MB1-2. RNAcentral's name for it is "bacterial SSU rRNA". It matches the Rfam family "Bacterial small subunit ribosomal RNA", at positions 582 to 1470 of the family's 1533-position model. Lineage: Bacteria; Pseudomonadati; Pseudomonadota; Gammaproteobacteria; Moraxellales; Moraxellaceae. The record is from RNAcentral.